UCAAUGUCAGCGCCGGAUCCAGCGACCCCGACUGUAGUUGCUCUGAGUACGAGGACUACCACUGACAAGGUUCCUGUUACAAGUUGGGUACUUUCUUGUUAUACAAGUUGGGUACUCUCUUAUCAAGUUGGGUUUUUAUUUAACCAAGUAUCUUGUCGAGGAGGUCAAGAUGGACAUCAACAAGCCUGAUACCGAUUAUUUAAUCGUGGAGCAUGCUGUGACCUAUGGCCAACUUACUGCCGUCAAGGACCUUCUUGAUCAUGGCGCUGAUCUGUAUCAUAAACGUUCAGGUUUGAUGUGCUGGGAUUUUAAAAGUCAUCUUAUGCUCAAAUGUGGGCACUAACUUUACUGAAACUUAGUGUAGCAUGAAGGUUUGAU
Molecule: long non-coding RNA, 378 nt
Organism: Lolium rigidum
Lineage: Eukaryota; Viridiplantae; Streptophyta; Magnoliopsida; Poales; Poaceae
Exons: 4
Source: RefSeq, a predicted model, not a curated record